RNAcentral lists this ribosomal RNA (920 nucleotides) under uncultured archaeon. RNAcentral describes it as "bacterial SSU rRNA". It matches the Rfam family "Archaeal small subunit ribosomal RNA", at positions 1 to 928 of the family's 1478-position model. The record is from RNAcentral.
UUCCGGUUGAUCCCGCCGGACCUGACUGCUAUCGGAUUGAUACUAAGCCAUGCGAGUCAUUGUAGCAAUACAAGGCAGACGGCUCAGUAACGCGUAGUCAACCUAACCCAUGGACGGGAAUAACCUCGGGAAACUGAGAAUAAUGCCCGAUAGAACACUAUGCCUGGAAUGGUUUGUGUUCCAAAUGAUUUAUCGCCGUAGGAUGGGACUGCGGCUUAUCAGUUUGUUGGUGAGGUAAUGGCCCACCAAGACUAUUACAGGUACGGGCUCUGAGAGGAGUGGCCCGGAGAUGGGUACUGAGACACGGACCCAGGCCCUAUGGGGCGCAGCAGGCGAGAAAACUUUGCAAUGUGCGAAAGCACGACAAGGUUAAUCCGAGUGGUUUCUGCUAAAGGAACCUUUUGUCGGUCCUAGAAACACCGAUGAAUAAGGGGUGGGCAAGUUCUGGUGUCAGCCGCCGCGGUAAAACCAGCACCUCAAGUGGUCAGGAUGAUUACUGGGCCUAAAGCAUCCGUAGCCUGCUUUGUUAGUUUUCGGUUAAAUCUGUACGCUCAACGUACAGGCUGCCGGGAAUACUGCAAAGCUAGGGAGUGGGAGAGGUAGACGGUACUCGGUAGGAAGGGGUAAAAUCCUUUGAUCUAUUGAUGACCACCUGUGGCGAAGGCGGUCCACCAGAACACGUCCGACGGUGAGGGAUGAAAGCUGGGGGAGCAAACCGGAUUAGAUACCCGGGUAGUCCCAGCUGUAAACCAUGCAAACUCAGUGAUGCAUUGGCUUGUGGCCAAUGCAGUGCUGCAGGGAAGCCGUUAAGUUUGCCGCCUGGGAAGUACGUACGCAAGUAUGAAACUUAAAGGAAUUGGCGGGGGAGCACCACAAGGGGUGAAGCCUGCGGUUCAAUUGGAGUCAACGCCGGAAAUCCC